GAAAUGUUUAGGUUUUUAUGUGGUGAGGAAGGCCUGUUAGUUUUUAGGUGACAGGGCAUAGAAAUGUGUAGGUUUUUAUGUGGUGAGGGAGGACUGUUGUUUUUUAGGUGACAGGGCAUAGAAAUGUGUAGUUUUUUAUGUGGUGAGGGAGGCCUGUUGGUUUUUAGGUGACAGGGCAUAGAAAUGUGUAGUUUUUUAUGUGGUGAGGAAGGCCUGUUGGUUUUUAGGUGACAGGGCAUAGAAAUGUGUAGUUUUUUAUGUGGUGAGGGAGGACUGUUGGUUUUUAGGUGACAAGGCAUAGAAAUGUGUAGGUUUUUAUGUGGUGAGGAAGGCCUGUUGGUUUUUAGGUGACAGGGCAUAGAAAUGUAUUGUUUUUUUUAUAGUAAUUUAACGAAGGCAUUUUGGUAAGCUAGUUUAUCUGAAUUUGUGAUCAUUUAUGGAUUCUACUUUAGUCACUCCCGCAAAUUUCAACAAGGUGCAUUUAAUAAUAAUUUAGUCCAUCAUGAAAAAAAAAAAAAAGCGAUUCAGUUAGCCCAGAAAUGCAACCAGGAGUCUUUUUUGGGUCACUUAACUCAAUUUGUCACCUGUUAUAAUAUGGCAGGUCGCUCUUGUCUCUCAUAUUUCAACAAGUCUCAGUCAUUAGCUCAGUUCAGAUAGUAAAUGAUUUUGUUACGCCAUUUUAGUUCAAUUUGUCAACAGUUUUGUAUGGUAUGUAUGUAUGUGUGUAUGUAUGUAUGUAUGUAUU
Eriocheir sinensis (Chinese mitten crab) is the source of this 745-nucleotide long non-coding RNA. RefSeq lists it as uncharacterized. Lineage: Eukaryota; Metazoa; Arthropoda; Malacostraca; Decapoda; Varunidae. The transcript has 3 exons. The record is from RefSeq and is a predicted model, not a curated record.